Molecule: ribosomal RNA, 253 nt
Filed under: uncultured bacterium
Lineage: Bacteria
Description: partial 16S ribosomal RNA
Rfam family: Bacterial small subunit ribosomal RNA
Source: RNAcentral
UACGAAGGGGGCGAGCGUUGUUCGGAAUUACUGGGCGUAAAGGGCGCGUAGGCGGCCGAUCAAGUCAGAUGUGAAAGUCCCGGGCUUAACCUGGGGACUGCAUUUGAUACUGAUUGGCUUGAAUGCAGGAGAGGAUAGCGGAAUUCCCAGUGUAGAGGUGAAAUUCGUAGAUAUUGGGAAGAACACCGGUGGCGAAGGCGGCUAUCUGGACUGUGAUUGACGCUGAGGCGCGAAAGCGUGGGGAGCAAACAGG